This is a long non-coding RNA of Armigeres subalbatus, 1456 nucleotides long. RefSeq lists it as uncharacterized. The record is from RefSeq and is a predicted model, not a curated record. Lineage: Eukaryota; Metazoa; Arthropoda; Insecta; Diptera; Culicidae. The transcript has 3 exons.
UUGUAUAUAAAAACAAAACAAACAAAACCAAGCUGCUUCUCUCGGCGCAGCCCCGGAAGUCUCGAUUCUUCUGGAGGCGUUUUCAAAUCCGUCGGUGUUCUGGCAGAUUCGGAGAUAUUUUCGCAGAUCCGGUGAUACGUAUGGUGCCUAGACAUCUAGAGCUCUUGCAUAAGGGAGCUUAUCAGCGCGGCUGGCAAAACCGAAAGUGCUCAUGAAUCAAUUUCAACGAUCUAUCGCAAUUAAUGACCAUCCUGAAAGUGGAUAGCGGCCUAAGCAAAGAAUGCCACGUAUGGAUUUCCUUGCCUUGCUAGUCAGCAAGUAGCGGUCAAUAGUAAUCAAAUGGCAUGGUCAACAGCUAUCCGUUGGAUAACCUAGUCAGAGUGACGAAACACCGGUCGAACCAGAUUAACACGGGGUCUGCUACAGUGUCUUGCGUCCCAUCACGAAACAUGAAUGUCAUCAUUAAUCCGCAAAAUUGGAUAUGAUUUUAAUUCUGCUCUCGAACUAGAUGCCAUAGAUAGCUAGAUUCGACAUCUUCGGUCAUAACAGCAGCGCCCUUGGCCACUUUUUUCUUAAUAAUCGAUUGCCGCAGUCAUAGAAGAAUCUGUUCUGACAGCAGGAAUAGCAACAGGAUCUAACUUGACUCGCUAGUCGCCACCUGUAAUGUUUAUCGGAGAUCAUCCAUUCGCGAGACGGAAUUCGAGGACAACAGUGUCAACAAUAGAAAUCCUUCGAACACAUGGGAGCAUCUGAUGUAAAAAACGUUUCUUACUUUAUCACCUCUGUUUGUAUACUCACGAUAGUGCUAUCUACCGUGAGAGAAGCUUUUUGCAAGCUGUUACGAUAACGAACUGAUUCGAAUUUCGGGGAGCUAUUACCCCAUGGGGGCUGUCCAUAUACCACGUGGACACGUUUUAGUCAAUUUUCUAUGCCCCCCUCCCCCAGCGUGGACAGUUGCCCACAUAUUUUCAAAAAUUUGAUGAGACAGCCCCAUGAUAAAUUUCUUUAAAUAAGCCCCAACCGCUGAGGGCACCAGUUCUUAAAAUGCAUUUCAACUUGUUUUACUGCAUCUGUGCCGAAAAAAUAUACUCCCCAACGAGAUACAAGCAAGAACGAAGCGUUUUAUCGUUUUAUCAUAGCCACUAGGUGGGUUGCGAUACACUUUUUGAACGACGAUAUGCAGGAUAAGCUCAACAAUCUCCUCUGUAGCGGGUCUCACUUCACCAUCAACGUCAGAAAGACCAAAGGAAUUAUGGAGCGAACAAAAUACUACGUCAUCGUAGACUUCAACUUCAUCGCAUAUGGUCGAAUACAUCGACCCUGAAGAUCACAAACUUUCAAUAAAUCACAUGCAAGGGCUGGUUUCCUACAUUCUGCCGCCAGCAUCCAGGCGCUAAAGUAUAUACAGUAAUAGCAUUGGUGAUUCAAAUAUGAUAUCCACUACUUUUUGUGAGAU